CUAUAGCUCAGCUGGGAGAGCGCCCGCCUUGCACGCAGGAGGUCAGCGGUUCGAUCCCGCUUAGCUCCACCAU
RNAcentral lists this transfer RNA (73 nucleotides) under uncultured Alphaproteobacteria bacterium. Its description in RNAcentral is "tRNA-Ala". It matches the Rfam family "tRNA". From Rfam's summary of the family: Transfer RNA (tRNA) molecules are approximately 80 nucleotides in length. Their secondary structure includes four short double-helical elements and three loops (D, anti-codon, and T loops). The record is from RNAcentral. Lineage: Bacteria; Pseudomonadati; Pseudomonadota; Alphaproteobacteria.